Molecule: long non-coding RNA, 1008 nt
Organism: Cyprinus carpio (common carp)
Lineage: Eukaryota; Metazoa; Chordata; Actinopteri; Cypriniformes; Cyprinidae
Source: Ensembl
AUGGAGAUAGUUGAGGCAGAAGGUAUUAAGGUCCCAAACUCUGUGAUUGUUAGUGGCUUGACUAAAACCGAGAGUGAUGAUGAGUUAAUUGACAUCCUGAAAGAGUAUGGUUCUUUUGCCAGAACCAUUUUCAUUAGUGACAAACAAUCAGAAUUUUACCAGAGCACAAUAAUUGAAUAUAACAGUGGUCAAGCCUUGGAAAUGCUAGAACCUCAGCUACCUUAUACUCACCAGCUAUCCAGUGAUCCAGGUAUCACUUACAACGUGAGGGCAUUAUCUAGUGUCUUUACACAGCAAUUGGGCAGUAGUGUUACUCAAUCUUACCUUGAAGGACUGAAAGAAAUAGCAAAACUGAGUGGAACCAAUUUUGAAGCAGUAUUGAGCCAAAUGCUAUCUCAAAUGAGCGCAGAACUCACACCAGCAUCCACUGAUCUUGAGGCUGGAGAUGAAAAUCCUAAUGGGCAACCACCCCAAAAACUCCCUGGCGAGUGUGUUGGAGCAACACCUGUUAAGCCGAGUCAGGUAGAUGAACCACAGUCACAGCCCAAGCCUAUUAAAUCGAACGCCCCACCUCUCUUUCCCUCUAAAAAAAUACUAAACCCACCUGAAGUUCAGAAAUUCAUUGUUGAACACGUUGUGAGGAGUGGUGAAGUGGCUGCCCAAGGGCCUGUACAAUCAAGGCUCAGGGUGUUCUCUGGUAAAUGUCCUAGACCUGGAAAUGAGGUUGAUUAUGAAACUUGGCGCUCCAGUGUUGAGCUUGUUCUGAAAGACCCUGGCUUAUCUGAUCUGCAUGUGUCCAGGAAGAUAUUGGACAGUCUUUUGCCACCUGCAGCCGAUGUCAUAAAACAUCUAAGCCCUGAAGCUCCAUCCUCAGCUUAUCUUCAGUUGCUAGAUUCUGCUUUUGGCAUUGUUGAGGAUGGGGAUGAGCUCCUUGCAAGAUUUAUGAAAACCUACAGGAUGCCGGUGAGAAACCAUCCACUUACCUGUAUAGAUUGCAGACCGCCUUGA